CGUUUUCUAUUACUUCGCUUGGCGCUGAGCUCCUUCACCUCUCUCCAGAGCUUCCAAGGAGAAGAAGACAGCCAACUACAUGGUGGGUUUUGGCGGGAAAUCGCUGGUCCAUGUCGUCUCGGGAAUCGGCGGGAACGGAGUCUCCCGAGUUCUGGCGGCCAUGGCUGCCGGUCUGUUGUUCCGCUUAUUUUCAGGGCCAGGCCUAACGCUCUUGCCUGACAGCGACGCCGAUGAUGGCGAUGGUGAGAUGGACGGUGCCGGAGAUGAAGACGAAGCUUCAUUUCCGCGGAAAGUUCGUCCUGUCACCAUCCUUUGGAAGAACAUCACGUGCUCGCUUUCGGAUAAGUCUUUCAAAUCGGUGCGAUUUCUGCUAAAAAAUGUGUGCGGAGAAGCAAAACCUGGGAGGUUGCUUGCAAUAAUGGGUCCAUCUGGGUCUGGCAAGACAACAUUGCUCAAUAUUCUCGCUGGUCAGCUAAACGCAUCGCCCCGUUUGCAUCUGUCGGGCCUUUUGGAGAUCGAUGGGAAACCGAGCUCGGACAAAGAUUAUAAGUUUGCGUUUGUGAGACAGGAGGACUUGUUCUUCUCGCAGCUGACAGUGCGGGAAACGCUUUCUCUCGCGACAGAGCUUCAGCUUCGGGAGAUCUCUUCGGAGGAGGAAAGAGACGCGUAUGUGGACAACCUCUUGUUCAACCUGGGUCUGGCUAGCUGUGCAGAUUCAUGUGUUGGUGAUGCAAAGGUUCGUGGGAUCAGUGGUGGAGAAAAGAAACGUUUGUCGCUGGCGUGUGAAUUGAUCGCUAGUCCAUCUGUGAUAUUUGCUGAUGAACCCACAACCGGGCUUGAUGCUUUCCAGGCUGAGAAAGUGAUGGAGACAUUAAGACAGCUUGCUCAAGAUGGACAUACUGUGGUCUGCUCCAUACAUCAGCCUAGAGGUUCUGUAUAUGCUAAAUUCGAUGACAUUGUGUUGCUUACAGAGGGGGCGAUUGUCUAUGCUGGUCCUGCAGGCAAAGAACCUCUGACGUACUUUGGGAACUUCGGGUUCCUUUGCCCAGAUCAUGUGAACCCUGCUGAAUUUCUGGCAGAUCUUAUAUCCAUCGACUAUAGUUCUUCUGAGAGUGUCUAUUCUUCGCAGAAGAGAAUUCAUGCCCUUAUUGAUGCGUUCACACAGCGUUCAUCAUCGGUUCUUUAUGCCACACCGCUUGGCAAAGGAGAACAAACCAGGAACAACAUGAGAUCUCACAAGAAACCUAUUGUUAAGAAAAAAGGUGGUUGGUGGAGGCAGUUCUUCUUACUACUUAGACGUGCUUGGAUGCAGGCUUCUCGAGAUGGGCCCACCAACAAAGUGCGUGCCAGAAUGUCAAUUGCUUCUGCACUGAUAUUUGGAUCAGUUUUCUGGAGAAUUGGGAGAUCUCAGACGUCAAUCCAAGACCGGAUGGGUUUGCUUCAGGUGGCUGCGAUAAACACAGCAAUGGCAGCUCUCACAAAGACAGUCGGAGUGUUUCCAAAGGAACGUGCGAUUGUGGACAGAGAGCGUGCAAAAGGGUCUUAUUCUUUAGGUCCUUACUUGCUCUCUAAAUUAAUAGCUGAAAUUCCUAUUGGGGCUGCAUUUCCCUUGAUGUUUGGUGCUGUCUUAUACCCCAUGGCGCGACUAAAUCCUACUCUGUCCAGAUUUGGAAAGUUUUGCGGGAUAGUGACGGUGGAGUCUUUUGCGGCCUCUGCAAUGGGUCUGACUGUUGGGGGUAUGGUCCCAACCACAGAGGCUGCAAUGGCCGUGGGACCAUCCGUUAUGACUGUUUUCAUCGUGUUUGGAGGGUACUACGUCAAUGCAGACAAUACUCCGAUCAUCUUCCGCUGGAUUCCAUGUGUUUCACUCAUCAGAUGGGCUUUCCAGGGAUUGUGUAUAAAUGAGUUCAGCGGCCUUCAGUUUGAUCAUCAGAACUCAUUUGACAUCCGGACAGGAGAACAGGCGCUGGGAAGGCUUUCCUUUGGAGGAAGCCGUAUAAGAGAGACAAUAGCAGCUCAAACCAGGAUUAUGUUGUUCUGGUACUUCGCAGCAUAUCUUCUCCUGGAGAAGAAUAAGCCAAUGUAUCAAAAGCUCGAGGCACUUGGACUUGGCCAUGGCGAAAGCGGCAAUGCAGAACUGCUACUGGAAGGUGCAGAAGGUGUUGAGCCUUCUGCCGAUCAAGUGGAGGCCGAAGGUCCCCGGCGGCUGCUUGACGAUGAAUCUCCGGAACUCGACCAAAUCCGUCCCUUUGUACUGGAAGGUUUGUAAAAUAAAUACUAUAAAAUCAUUCGGGGGCGCGUUAGAUUCACGGCGACGCUCCAAAAAAAAUAAAAUAGGACAGGGGCUAAUGACACCAUUUACUGAUUGCACAAAAGAAGGGGUUGUUGCGGUCUUAUGAGAAGGUUUCUCCAUACUCUUGUCUGGUGCCAUUCACUCAUUUGAGGUAUGAUAUCCUCAUUUGUAAACAAAAAAAAAAAAAAAAUACUUUAAUUGUCUUCAGUGAUGGAUUUAAAUGGUGAUAAACAAUGUCCCGGAGAAUCUAUAUACCGAAAGAAGUCAGCUACAUAUAUGUAUAAUAUGUAGAUGUGAAGUAUUUCAUUUCAGGAAAUAGUAUAUAAUAAUAAAAAAACAAAA
This is an RNA transcript of Tarenaya hassleriana, 2635 nucleotides long. It is a transcript of the gene named ABC transporter G family member 7-like, with no coding region annotated. The transcript has 12 exons. The record is from RefSeq and is a predicted model, not a curated record. NCBI's taxonomy places the organism in Eukaryota, Viridiplantae, Streptophyta, Magnoliopsida, Brassicales, Cleomaceae.